This 440-nucleotide ribosomal RNA is filed under the name uncultured bacterium. Its description in RNAcentral is "partial 16S ribosomal RNA". It matches the Rfam family "Bacterial small subunit ribosomal RNA", at positions 338 to 795 of the family's 1533-position model. The record is from RNAcentral.
CCUACGUGUGGCAGCAGUGGGGAAUAUUGCACAAUGGGGGAAACCCUGAUGUAGCGACGCCGCGUGAGUGAAGAAGUAUUUCGGUAUGUAACGCUCUAUCAGCAGGGAAGAAAAUGACGGUACCUGAUUAAGAAACCCCGGCUAACUACGUGCCCGCAACCGCGGUAAUACGUAGGGGGCCAGCGUUAUCCGGAUUUACUGGGUGUAAAGGGAGCGUAGACGGGAGCACAAGACUGGAGUGAAAUGCCGGGGCUUAACCCCGGAACUGCUUUGGAAACUGUGCAGAUAGAGUGCAGGAGAGGUAAGUGGAAUUGCUAGUGUAGCGGUGAAAUGCGGAGAUAUUAGGAGGAACACCAGUGGAGAAGGCGGCUUACUGGACUGUAACCGACGUUGAGGCUCGAAAGCGUGGGGAGCAAACAGGAUUAGAUACCCCAGUAGUC